UACGUAGGGGGCUAGCGUUGUCCGGAAUCAUUGGGCGUAAAGAGCGUGUAGGCGGCCCGGUAAGUCCGCUGUGAAAGUCGGGGGCUCAACCCUCGAAUGCCGGUGGAUACUGUCGGGCUAGAGUGCGGAAGAGGCGAGUGGAAUUCCUGGUGUAGCGGUGAAAUGCGCAGAUAUCAGGAGGAACACCAAUUGCGAAGGCAGCUCGCUGGGACGUAACUGACACUGAGACGCGAAAGCGUGGGGAGCAAACAGG
This 253-nucleotide ribosomal RNA is filed under the name uncultured bacterium. Its description in RNAcentral is "partial 16S ribosomal RNA". It matches the Rfam family "Bacterial small subunit ribosomal RNA", at positions 524 to 776 of the family's 1533-position model. The record is from RNAcentral.